RNAcentral lists this long non-coding RNA (593 nucleotides) under Mus musculus (house mouse). Its description in RNAcentral is "predicted gene, 50140". The record is from RNAcentral. Lineage: Eukaryota; Metazoa; Chordata; Mammalia; Rodentia; Muridae.
GUUUGUUCCCGUUUGUUUACAGACUGGCAGUGUGAGGAGCUGAUGCCUCCCAAAGGACACAGCACCGGAGUGGGAUUACGGACAUCUCUCCAUCACUCUCAUCAUCUGUUCAUGCCCUUAUAGUUUUUUAUACCAUCUAAACACAGAUACACACAUACACAGAGACACACACACACAGAGGCACACACACACACACAGACACAUGCACAGACACACAGACACACGCAGAUACACACACACACACACACACACACACUCACACACACACAGAGAGAGAGAGAGAGAGAGAGAGAGAGAGACCUAAGCUCUUUCUGAUCACCGAGAUUACACACACCUCAUUCUACUGAAGGCAUCAGGGGCUAAUUCGUGCAGAAGGGAGAAUGUGAGGUGGGAAGAGGAUCAUCUGAGAAAACAGGAGGUGAUUUCAAGUAGUGAAGAUUGGAAUAAUUUUGUUUCUCAUUUUGACAACAUGUUCUUUUAUACAACAUAUUUAUUACCUUUAUUUUAUAUGGAUAUUUUACCUGCACGUAUGUCUGUGCACCACAUGCAUGACUGUUGCCUGAAGAAGUCAGAAGGGGGCAUCAUAUACCCUG